ACACGGGAUCCGAGCCAUGUCUGCAACCUAUAUAUACCACAGCUCACAGCAACAUCGGAUCCUUAACCCACUGAGCGAGGCCAGGGAUCGAACUCUCAACCUCAUGGAUCCUAGUCAUGUUCGUUAACCACUGAGGCAUGAAGGGAACUCCCUAAAUUCAUUUCUUAAGAAAGGCAUUACUAGUGGCACGUGCUGAAAAGGAUGUAGAGCAACUGGAACUCUCAUUUACUUAUGGUAGAGGUACACUUGGGAAAAUCAUUGAGCAGUUUCUGCUAAAGCUAGACUGCACAUACGCUAUGACUCAGAAAUUCUACCCCAACAUUAAGGUACACAUAUACCCACCAAAAACAUGUAACAAAAUGUUACCUUUAUGCAUAACAAAUAAAAAUGGAAACUCAAAUGUUGGUCAACAGUAGAAUAAAUUGUGGUGUUCAUACAAUAAACUACUACAUGCCAAAAAAAAAAUGUAUUGCUACAUACCACACAACACAACAGAUGAAUUUCAUGAAUGUAACAUUGAGUGAAGGAAGUCAGACACCAAAGAACACAGACUGUGUGAUACAUCUUACCUAAAGUUCAAAACCAGGCAAAACGAAUUUAUGGCAUCAGAAGCCAGAAGAGUGACCUCUCUUGGUAUAAUAAUGACUGGAAAGGGGACACAAGGCAGAAGAGGGCUUGGUGACAUUUUGUUUCAUGACCUGGGUAUUUGGUUAUAUGGGUUAUGUGGAGGUCACCCUUUGUGAAAAUGCAUCAAGUGAAAACUUAGGAUUUGUGCACUUUUGUGUAUCUCUACGUUAUAUUUCAAUAAAAUUUAUAUAACAAAACAGAACAGUCUCUUGUACAAAGACUAAAAAAGUAGACUAUGGUUUGGAGAGGUGCUUUGCUAAUUCUGCCAGUUUUCUGAGUAAGAACAUUAGAAGCAAGGUCAGCAGAUCUGUGUUCCAUCAAAGCAUUUGAACAAAUCACUGUUCCUCUCCUGCCUUCAUUUUCAUCUUUUGAAAGAGAGAGAGGCUGUCACUAGAGGGGUCCCCAAGAUUUCUCUUGGCCCUAAUGAAAGCAGAGUGACCUUAGAACUGGCACCCUUUACCACCAAACGUGUCGCUUGCCUAGACUGGAUAACGGGAGAUCCCAGUUUCUACAGUUUCUUCUUCCUCAAAUAGCUUCUUGGGCAGUCUGAUGGAAAACUACAGUAGAAUAGAUCUGGAGAAAAGGAUUUUUUCUCUGGUAGCCUGUAUCCUGUCAAUGUUGGGUUUCAUUAAGCAAUAAUUGUCUAAAGAGAAUUUAUCCUUAAUCCUAAUAGAAGUGAGAAGGGUUAAAGCAAGAAUUAGAGUUGAAGCUAUCAACCUAAAGGCCUUAGUAGGUUGUUCUGAGUGGGGGUCAUGCUCUUGAAGCUGCCAAAGGCAACAUUUGGAGUUUUGAUUGCCUGCUUCAUCUGACCUCCCAGUAAACUGGGGUUAUCAACCUUCCCUUGGCAACUAAAUCUAAUGAGAAGGUCUGAAGCGAAAUCAAAUGCAGAUAGUUUAAAUGAUGUUUUAUUUAUUAUGCUAACCAUAGCCUUCACUGGGCCAAAAGCUUUCCUAAACUGGGAUCACUGCUUGGGAACUGCAUGUCCCCAGGCCCUGCGUGGGAGAGGAGAGAGGCCUGGUUCAUCAGAUCUCUUACCCAGCCCUUCUUCUCUUACCUUGAGACAACCUAGAAAAGUUAUUAGGAUGGAAAAUGUUUUGCUGAGAUUUUUUUUUUGCGUAUCAUUUCCGAGAAAUUUUCCAAAAUAGCAAAGGGAUGCUGACUUCCCACUAGGACUCAAUAGAGUGUAGCAAAUCAAACAAUUUUCCAAAAGGCAUUUUCCUACCACUCAUCCGACCACAUUUCCCACCCCACAGAGAAGCAUUGUGGCUGCAAGCGGAAUUAGAGCUGAGAUUCUCAGAUUGAAGUAGGUACAUUUUCACAUCUGGGAGGGAGAAAGGAGCAGAGCAAAAUCUCAGUCCUAUAGAUUUUUGAGUGGGGCAGGGGUAGAUGACAAAGAAGGACAGAAGUGUAAUCAGGAAAGAAACAAAUCCACUUACUUCCUGUAACUGAGCAGAGGUGGAGUGGAGAUGCCGGUGCCCUGAAGAACGCGGGGAGCCACUUCUUGGGCAACCCGGAGAAGAGUUUCAGAUUCGACUCCCAGUGAUCCGCGGGUCUCGUCUAAUCAGGGAAACGUUAUUUUUCAUCAUUCCUUGCUGAGCUGUGACACAUGAAAAUAAUUACUGAGGUUAGGGAUGGAAAAUAUUUAUUAGGUCAGCUCGACCAUCCUUUCCACUAUGUAGGCCGGCUCCCCGCUGGGCCUGGAAGACAGAGCUAUGACAACAACCUGGCUUGUCCCUGUCUCCCAGCACCUGAAAAGCAGGUUACUAGUCCCUUCUUGAUCUUUGCUGGGACUAUGAAUGCUAAGGAGGAGAGAAAAGAAGACAGCAAGAUGUACAACAGCAACAGAAAGCCUUGUGUCCCAGCCACUGACCAACUAUUAAAAUGGGGAGCCAUCGGGUUUUCUUCAAAAGGUGGAGAUCCAACCCCUCCUUGAAGACUCCACGGCUGUUUAUUCAUGACAGAUGCGCGAGGCCACAUUUAAGGUUGGGAAGUUUUCUUCUUGUGGGUUGCAUCCUGUGCUCAACGCUUUUCUUGGGUAAGGCCUGGCUCUUCAGAGCUGAAGCUCAGCAGAUCCUGGCGAGGGGCCUGCAUGCCCCACUGGUUGUUACUGAGCCAAGGAGGAGAGGCCGGUCCCCUCUUGCCCUGCCCCGUGCUUGCCCUGCCCCGUCAUGGCGCUCCCCCUGAACCUUCUUCUUUUCUGCUGCUUUUCUUCUGCAUGACUUCCAGCUCGCUAACAUUGACCCUGUCCUAAAGAGAGCCGGGUAGCACUUGGCAGCCUCAAGAUGGUCUCCUCAGAGCCAUAGAGACAGGGCUACCCCCGGUGCUAGGCCCCCCAGAUAAACGGCCUUCCUUAACCCCCCACCAGCUGCAGUCUGUGCGCCCUUGUUUCAGGCGGAAGUUGAGGGCUGGUUCUCUACAGGACUCAGCGCACAGAGGCACUUAAUAUGUGUAAAACAGUGCUCUCUGCCGCAACCGCCUCCCUCUAUGCGACCCGGGAGUGUGAGGGCCAAGGGGGCUUCCAUCCCCUCAGAAUCACCUCCCACACCGACCAUAGCUCAAAGGCCCCACACAGAAUAGGUCUCAGAAAAUAGCCCAGAAGAAUUGAUUCAAAUUCCUAUCCAAGCCCCAGAACAUCUAAAGGGGAAAAAUGGGGCAAAACUUGCUAUAAAAUCAAGGAAGUGACUGAGGAAAAGGGUAUAAUGAUUGAAGAUAUUCACAUUGAGGCUAGGGUUGCUUGUACAGGUGGUGUAGGGUGGGAAUAAGCAUACACGGAAAGACAAAUGAUCCAUACAGUCUGCUUGUCCACAUACAAGAAGGGCCUAUACGGGAUGUUUUUAAGGUAACUGAAAACCGUCCACAAUUCUCCCGGGCAAUUUCCUAGGUCUGUGGAGAGGGAGAUCUUUUACUAGCAUUAGAUAGGGCCCUAAUAUUACCACAAGCUGUUUAUAUUCUUCACGUCUGCCAGGCAGGAGCAGUGAUAAUUGAGCCCUCAGCUCUGCACUGAGACGCUGUGUUUAGUGGUGAGUGGGGUUUUACGACAGAGUUUCUCACAGAUCUUUGAAUAUGCUGAAUUUUAAUUAAGUCUAAGUCGUGUCACUGGCCGCCUCACUCUGUCCACAUCCGCUGCCGAAACACCGUUCACCCCAAAGCCUUAAAGUCCUGCCCACGCUUCAGCCAGGAACCGAGCAUCGUGUGAGGGAAUGUCCUCCCCACAGGGAACGGAGGCCCCGGUGUUUAAGGCUGGGUCGACCUUGACUAAAAUGACUCAUCAGUUCAAGUUUUAAAAAAGGAGGGGGGGUCUCCUCAGUUAUUUUUUAAAAAUCCAACUUGUUACUUUCACUCGUUAACUGGAUGCUGUGGAGGCAUCGCUCCUGAAUGAUUAUUAGAGGGUAUUAUGAUUGCCUAGGGACCUGGAAAAAACGUAAAUAUGGA
This 4059-nucleotide long non-coding RNA is filed under the name Sus scrofa (pig). Its description in RNAcentral is "lncRNA (ENSSSCG00000052112.1)". The record is from RNAcentral. Lineage: Eukaryota; Metazoa; Chordata; Mammalia; Artiodactyla; Suidae.